GGGGGUGCAGCUCAGGGGUAGAGCGCUCGCCCAACAUGCAGGACCCUGGGUUCCAUCCCCAGCUCUGCCC
This 70-nucleotide transfer RNA is filed under the name Marmota monax (woodchuck). Its description in RNAcentral is "tRNA.Val". The record is from RNAcentral. Lineage: Eukaryota; Metazoa; Chordata; Mammalia; Rodentia; Sciuridae.